Molecule: long non-coding RNA, 507 nt
Organism: Orussus abietinus
Lineage: Eukaryota; Metazoa; Arthropoda; Insecta; Hymenoptera; Orussidae
Exons: 2
Source: RefSeq, a predicted model, not a curated record
CAUCUCUGUGCACGACAGUCUACGGUGGAGACGUAGUUUAAGCGCUGGUAACUGUAGGAAGUUUGAACAUCCUAUGAAGUGUGGCGAGUCUUCCAGUUUACUAUACAUUUCGGUAACAACACUAUCUGACUGAUUUAUGCAGAUUUAUUACAGAAAUGACAUUUAAACAAAUAAAUAAAUGGUCCAUGCAUAAAAUUAGAGUCGUAAGUGAUUUUUUUUUGGAACAGCAUAAGUAGCCUGUCUCCGGCAUGUAUUGUUCUCAAGUGAAACCUGUACCACCUGCCAGCAAGGCAAUAUUGCAAGCAAACCAGCAAGAAAACAAACACAGUUUGAAGCAGGCCUUAGCAUAAUAUGUUAUACCAAUCCAGAUCUAUAGCCUUUCACUACUGAUCAAUUUCUUGUACUAUAUUUAUUUAGGUUGUGACUGUAAUGCUAGGAAUUUUUGGGUGUAUGCUAUUGUUUGAAAUUCAUAUAUCUGUGAAAAAUAAACUUUGUUUUAUUUACAUA